GAACUAAGAAGUGCCAGAAGGACUUUCAUGAGAGGAAGUAAAGAUUUUCUCUUAAGUUGUUAGGGCAUUCUUCACUUCCCAUCCAGAAUCAGUUGCUCAAAAACCUUUGUCAUGUUGUUGUGUUUCACUCCAUGGCAUGUCAUGUUCAUCAGGCAUUUUAUGCAACUGCUGCUGUGCUGCAAUAUGUUGUAUCUCAAUUGAACCUCAAGAACUGGAGUAACAGAAUUCCUAGACGUAUCCCUCCCGCGC
Long non-coding RNA from Alligator sinensis (Chinese alligator), 249 nucleotides. RefSeq lists it as uncharacterized. The transcript is spliced from 4 exons. The record is from RefSeq and is a predicted model, not a curated record. NCBI's taxonomy places the organism in Eukaryota, Metazoa, Chordata, Crocodylia, Alligatoridae.